AACUUAAAGGAAUUGACGGAAGGGCACCACCAGGGGUGGAGCCUGCGGCUUAAUUUGACUCAACACGGGGAAACUCACCAGGUCCAGACACAACGAGGAUUGACAGAUUGAGAGCUCUUUCUUGAUUUUGUGGGUGGUGGUGCAUGGCCGUUCUUAGUUGGUGGAGUGAUUUGUCUGCUUAAUUGCGAUAACGAACGAGACCUUAACCUGCUAAAUAGCCCGUAUUGCUUUGGCAGUACGCCGGCUUCUUAGAGGGACUAUCGGCUCAAGCCGAUGGAAGUUUGAGGCAAUAACAGGUCUGUGAUGC
RNAcentral lists this ribosomal RNA (307 nucleotides) under Pseudohalonectria lignicola. RNAcentral describes it as "SSU rRNA". It matches the Rfam family "Eukaryotic small subunit ribosomal RNA", at positions 1141 to 1470 of the family's 1831-position model. The record is from RNAcentral. Lineage: Eukaryota; Fungi; Ascomycota; Sordariomycetes; Magnaporthales; Ophioceraceae.